RNAcentral lists this ribosomal RNA (872 nucleotides) under Inocybe sp. 7 TM02_336. RNAcentral's name for it is "eukaryotic LSU rRNA". It matches the Rfam family "Eukaryotic large subunit ribosomal RNA", at positions 75 to 932 of the family's 3401-position model. The record is from RNAcentral. Lineage: Eukaryota; Fungi; Basidiomycota; Agaricomycetes; Agaricales; Inocybaceae.
UUCCCCUAGUAACUGCGAGUGAAGCGGGAAAAGCUCAAAUUUGAAAUCUGGCGGUUUUUGACUGUCCGAGUUGUAAUCUAGAGAAGUGUUACCUGUGCUGGACCGUGUAAAAGUCUCCUGGAAUGGAGCAUCAUAGAGGGUGAGAAUCCCGUCUUUGACAUGGACAACCAGUGCGUCGUGGUGCGCUCUCAAAGAGUCGAGUUGUUUGGGAAUGCAGCUCAAAAUGGGUGGUAAAUGCCAUCUAAAGCUAAAUAUUGGCGAGAGACCGAUAGCGAACAAGUACCGUGAGGGAAAGAUGAAAAGCACUUUGGAAAGAGAGUUAAACAGUACGUGAAAUUGCUGAAAGGGAAACGCUUGAAGUCAGUCACGUCGGCUAGAAAUCAGCCUUGCUUCUGCUCGGUGUACUUUCUGGUUGACGGGUCAGCAUCAAUUUCGACCGCUGGACAAAGUCUUUGGGAAUGUGGCAUCCUCGGAUGUGUUAUAGCCCAUCGUCGCAUGCAGUGGUUGGGAUUGAGGAACUCAGCACGCCGCAAGGCCGGGUUUCGACCACGUUCGUGCUUAGGAUGCUGGCAUAAUGGCUUUAAUCGACCCGUCUUGAAACACGGACCAAGGAGUCUAACAUGCCUGCGAGUGUUUGGGUGGAAAACCCAUGCGCGCAAUGAAAGUGAAAGUUGAGAUCCCUGUAAAAAGGAGAGCAUUGACGCCCGGACCAGACCUUCUGUGAAGGAUCCGCGGUAGAGCAUGUAUGUUGGGACCCGAAAGAUGGUGAACUAUGCCUGAAUAGGGUGAAGCCAGAGGAAACUCUGGUGGAGGCUCGUAGCGAUUCUGACGUGCAAAUCGAUCGUCAAAUUUGGGUAUAGGGGCGAAAGACU